CCGCGCGCAGACAAGAUGGCGCUGCGUCUGCUGAGGAGAGCGGCGCGCGGAGCGGCGCUGCCGAGGCUGAAAGCAUCUCUGGCAGCUGAUGUGUCCAGGCUUGGGUACAGUUCCUCACCCAACCACAAAUACAUUCCGCGAAGGGCCGUGCUCUAUGUUCCUGGAAAUGAUGAAAAGAAAAUUAAGAAGAUUCCCUCUCUGAAUGUGGAUUGUGCAGUACUCGACUGUGAGGAUGGUGUGGCUGUGAACAAAAAGGAUGAAGCUCGAUUGAGAAUAGUAAAAACUCUUGAAGACUUUGAUCUGGGCCCAACUGAAAAGUGUGUAAGAAUCAACUCAGUGUCCAGUGGUCUGGCCGAAGAAGAUCUGCAGGCCCUCCUGCGGUCCCGGGUCCUUCCUUCCAGCCUGAUGCUCCCGAAGGUAGAAGAUCCUGAAGAAAUCCAGUGGUUUUCAGACAAAUUUUCAUUCUACUUACAAGGCCGAAAACUUGAACAACCUAUGAAUUUAAUCCCUUUUGUGGAAACUGCAAUGGGUUUGCUCAAUUUUAAGGCAGUGUGUGAAGAAGCACUAAAGAACGGGCCUCAAGUGGGUCUUUUUCUAGAUGCAGUCGUUUUUGGAGGAGAAGACUUUCGCGCCAGCAUAGGUGCAACAAGUAGUAAGGAAACCCAAGAUAUUCUCUACGCCCGACAAAAGAUUGUUGUUGUAGCAAAGGCCUUUGGUCUGCAGGCCAUAGACCUGGUGUACAUCGACUUCCAGGAUGGAGAGGGGCUUCUCAAGCAGUCGAGAGAAGGAGCUGCAAUGGGAUUUACUGGUAAGCAGGUGAUACACCCUAACCAAAUUGCAGUGGUCCAGGAGCAGUUUUCUCCUUCCCCUGAAAAACUUAAGUGGGCUGAAGAACUGAUUGCUGCCUUUAAAGAACAUCAACAGUUAGGAAAGGGAGCCUUUACUUUCCGAGGGAGUGUGAUCGACAUGCCAUUACUGAAGCAGGCCCAGAACAUUGUUAGGCUUGCCAUGUCCAUCAAGGAAAAAUGAUCUGCUAAAUGAAGCUCUCAUCAGCUGCCUGCCUCAGAGACACUGCCUGACCCUGGCACGGGUAUGUGAACUCAUCACAAUUCAAACAGCCAAUCAUCCAGUGCAACCAGGAAGCUGGGCAACCAGGCAAGUCCCUCCUUGAGAAAGGACUUGUGACCAAACAACUCCAAAACUGUGGACUCGGGUUAAUCAGGGAAGGAAAGCAGGAAAGAAAGUGGUGUGGUCGUCUCCUCUUCCUGAGAAUGCUCCCUGGCACACACAGCUUGGAAUUUGCUUUGCCGGCCAUGUGGUGCCACUAAUCAACGCCAACUGUUUGAAGAUGCAGGACAGAAGAAAUUCUGAAGGCUGCCGCUUCCUUAUACCUCCCUGAGAGCCAUCUUUGAGGAUUUAAGGCAAGAGAAUUAUUGAAACACAUUUCAUUGAUUUAUUAUUAAUUGUCCCUUGGGUAAGCACAGAAAGUACCAAGCAGAGGAAGGCUGCAUGACUUGUGGUCACUGAAACACUUUCAAGUGUCUGCCCAGAUCCUGAAUUUCUGCCAUGAACAGGGGAACCAAAAUGAGGAAACACAAGUUAUAGAGAUUAGACUCCAGGUGAAGAGGAAGGGGGUGUAGGAAGGAGGUGUGGGGUACAGCUUGCUGAGUAGUGGGAGCAGAGACCACGCAACUGAGGCAGCUGGCAGAGGAGGGAGGUGGAGGCUUGCUUUGGGAGCGAAGCCAAAGUCUACUGUCAGGGUGUGGGAUCCAGAAAAAUCCCACCGGUUAACAUGAAUAAAUGCCCACCAGCAGAAAGACAAAUACUGCUUCUGGUCCAAGAAACAGAGGCCUGAAUGGCCAAGGAAAGUAGAUUCUUAUCUUCGGGCAAGGGCCCAGCGACACACCAGCUCAGAAACAUGUCCCAAAGGAAGGGAGCAUCGUUACUGCCAGCUGAGCAUCUCCGAACCCCCAUCCAUGGAGGAAACAAGACGUGGGAUGAGAAAUAGGUGCGCGUGCGCACAAACGCACACACAAGAAAAUAAGUGUUAGCCUGCUGCCUGAUCGCACCCAAAUAAGGCAGACGUGCCCCAACCAGAUGUACCAGGCCUCUUCCAGAGAACUCAUUUGUUGUGGGCUGAUUUCUACUUCCUGGUGCAAUUUACUUGGGAAAAGGGGCCUUUCAUCGUUGAUAUUCUGUGAACUGGCCGGAACCAGAUAGACAAUAAUGAACUUUACAAACCUGAUUUUGCAGAAUCUGAAAAACACCCCUUGACUGUCGGUCCUCAGUACUUCCUUUCUGCUCACCCAGAGUCUUCUAUCUUUUAUUGAUUAGCACAAGCAUCGCAUGAGCCCCUUCUUAGGGCAAGGGACUAAAUCCAACAAGAGGUACCAUGUUGUUUUCAUUCCCCAAGGAUUUCACAGGUAAGUUCCACACUGUGCUGGGGGGUGAGGGGGGAUUGUUUUUCUCAAAGGCAGAAAACAGUCCACAUGCUUGUGGUUUUCUACUAACUCAACCUUUACUCACACUUUGCCUGAUCUGUAACUCAAACUCAGUAAACAGGCCUUUUAGGGAACUUGUAAAACCUAGGAUACUUUCAGACAAUUGGAUGAAUGUGGAAUAAAUCAACCAUUAGGGAAUAAAAAUGAUUUGGUUGUUACGUGAGAUAUAUGUGUCUUCAAGUAGUAUCACUGAUCCUCAGUCUCCUCUGAAUACUAAUUAAAAAAAAGACCCAGGGCUUCCCUGGUGGCGCA
Molecule: non-coding RNA, 2753 nt
Organism: Delphinapterus leucas (beluga whale)
Lineage: Eukaryota; Metazoa; Chordata; Mammalia; Artiodactyla; Monodontidae
Source: RefSeq, a predicted model, not a curated record